RNAcentral lists this ribosomal RNA (407 nucleotides) under Rhizobium sp. S3. RNAcentral's name for it is "bacterial SSU rRNA". It matches the Rfam family "Bacterial small subunit ribosomal RNA", at positions 297 to 721 of the family's 1533-position model. The record is from RNAcentral. Lineage: Bacteria; Pseudomonadati; Pseudomonadota; Alphaproteobacteria; Hyphomicrobiales; Rhizobiaceae.
AGGAUGAUCAGCCACACUGGGAUUGAGACACGGCCCAGACUCCUACGGGAGGCAGCAGUGGGGAAUAUUGGACAAUGGGCGAAAGCCUGAUCCAGCCAUGCCGCGUGAGUGAUGAAGGCCUUAGGGUUGUAAAGCUCUUUCGCCAGGGAAGAUAAUGACGGUACCUGGAAAAGAAGCCUCGGCUAACUCCGUGCCAGCAGCCGCGGUAAGACGGAGGAGGCUAGCGUUGUUCGGAAUUACUGGGCGUAAAGCGUGCGCAGGUUGUGAGAUCAGUUGGAUGUGAAAGCCCGGGGCUUAACCUCGGAUGUGCAUCCAAUACUGUCUCGCUGGAGGUUGGAAGAGGAGAGUGCCAUUCCCAGUGUAGAGGUGAAAUUCGUAGAUAUUGGGAAGACCACCAGUGGCGAAGG